Molecule: ribosomal RNA, 1292 nt
Filed under: uncultured Chloroflexota bacterium
Lineage: Bacteria; Bacillati; Chloroflexota
Description: bacterial SSU rRNA
Rfam family: Bacterial small subunit ribosomal RNA
Source: RNAcentral
GUAUGAUGAUGGAAAGUGGCGAACGGGUGAGUAACACGUUGGUGACCUGCCUCAAAGAGGGGGACAACCACUAGAAAUGGUGGCUAAUACCCCAGAUGUUAACCUUUUUAGAAACGGUUGACUAAAGCUCCGGCGCUUUGAGAGGGGCCUGCGUCCCAUCAGCUAGUUGGUAAGGUAAUGGCUUACCAAGGCUAAGACGGGUAGGGGACGUGAGAGCGUGAUCCCCCACAAUGGUACUGACACACGGACCAUAUACCUACGGGUAGCAGCAGCAAGGAAUAUUGCGCAAUGGGCGAAAGCCUGACGCAGCAACGCCGCGUGGAGGACGAAGGUCUUCGGAUUGUAAACUCCUUUUCUGAGGGAAUAGAAAGGAAGGUACCUCAGGAAUAAGCUCCGGCUAACUACGUGCCAGCAGCCGCGGUAAAACGUAGGGAGCAAGCGUUAUCCGGAUUUAUUGGGCGUAAAGCGCACGCAGGCGGUUUUUUAAGUUGGAUGUGAAAGCUCCCGGCUCAACUGGGAGAGGCCAUUCAAAACUGAAAGACUUGAGAGUAACAGAGGAAAGCGGAAUUCCAGGUGUAGUGGUGAAAUGCGUAGAUAUCUGGAGGAACACCAGUGGCGAAAGCGGCUUUCUGGGUUAUUUCUGACGCUCAUGUGCGAAAGCUAGGGGAGAGAACGGGAUUAGAAACCCCGGUAUUCCUAGCCGUAAACGAUGUCAACUAGGUGUAGGAGGUAACCAAUCCUUCUGUACUGCAGCUAACGCGUUAAGUUGACCGCCUGGGGACUACGGCCGCAAGGCUAAAACUCAAAGGAAUUGACGGGGACCCGCACAAGCAGCGGAGCGUGUGGUUUAAUUCGAGGCUACGCGAAGAACCUUACCAGGGUUUGACAUAUGCAUGGUACCGACCCGAAAGGGAAGGGACUCUUCGGAGAGUGCAUACAGGUGCUGCAUGGCUGUCGUCAGCUCGUGCCGUGAGGUGUCUGGUUAAGUCCAAUAACGAGCGCAACCCUCAUCGUUAGUUACAUGUGUCUAGCGAGACUGCCGGUGAUAAGCCGGAGGAAGGUGGGGAUGACGUCAAGUCAGCAUGGCCUUUAUAUCCUGGGCUACACACACGCUACAAUGGCCAGUACAAUGGGUAGCCAAGCCGCGAGGUGGAGCCAAUCCCCCAAAGCUGGUCUCAGUUCGGAUUGUAGGCUGCAACUCGCCUGCAUGAAGUCGGAGUUGCUAGUAACCGCGCGUCAGCAACAGUGCGGUGAAUACGUUCCCGGGUCUUGUACACACCGCCCGUCACGUC